Molecule: non-coding RNA, 576 nt
Organism: Arachis ipaensis
Lineage: Eukaryota; Viridiplantae; Streptophyta; Magnoliopsida; Fabales; Fabaceae
Source: RefSeq, a predicted model, not a curated record
UCGUCACCGAAUCAUACAAGAAAAAGAAAAGAAAGGACCGAGAGAGAGCAACCAAGAAACUUCCAUGGAACCGUGACUUUUAACUCCAAUUUUCUUAUGAUCCGUAACUCCAAUAAAAAAUCUAAUCCGGUAAAAAUGUUCGUAUUCUCAUCCUCUACACGUUGGCGUUAUUUUUGUCCGGUAAAAAUUGAUGGUGACGUAGCUCCUCUUUUCUUUGAGUUCAGUGCUUGCAAGUACUUGCAGAGGUCAUGUUCGGCAUACUUCAGCUGGAGAAUCAGCGCCUGCAAGAAGUAGAAACUUGCAGAGGUUAUACCGCUGGAAUGCCUUAUCUGACUUGCGAGUCGGAUUGCGUCAGUGACACAGGUUCGAAGAUUCAGUUUGAAGUCGCGGGCGAAUAUUAGCCUUAUUUGAGUUAAAUUUAUGUGUUGAGUUGCUUUCAUAGAAUUCCCUCGCCCUUAUUGUUUAAGAUUUUAUUCUAUAUAGAGGGAUAGGAGUUGUAACUGAGUUUUAUUUGAAUUCUGUUGUAUGAUAUUUAUUAUUAUUAAUAACUAUGUGAUUAGUAUUGCUUGAGGAUCU